AAGUAACUCUAAAUUAAAAACACGUGAAGCCAGCAAUUUUCAUAGAAAUAAUUUAUUCAUCAAAAUAAAAAUUCAAAGAACUUCUAUUUUGACAUAAGUACAAUGCCAGAAAAAAAAUCUUCAUCUGGAUUCGUAUCUGGUGUGGUACAAUUUACGGCCAGUUUAUGGACAGAUCCUUUCAGAUGGCAAUUAGUUAAAAGUAUUGGUAUGUUUGGAGUAGCUGUUUUUAUAGCCAAAGAAAUGGCUGCUGCAGAAGCUGCCCCACCAUCAUCUGUAUAGUUGGAAUUUAAAAUAGGUAAUAUUAUACAAUUCAUGGACUUCUAAAAUCUUACAGAAGAAAUGUGUUAUGUGUGUGAAAGAUGAAUAUGUGAUAUAUAGAGUACAAGAAUUUUAUAUAAGAACUAUGAUACUAACUACAAUAAAAAGCAAUAGUAUCAUU
Patella vulgata (common limpet) is the source of this 439-nucleotide long non-coding RNA. RefSeq lists it as uncharacterized. The record is from RefSeq and is a predicted model, not a curated record. Lineage: Eukaryota; Metazoa; Mollusca; Gastropoda; Patellidae. The transcript has 3 exons.